GAUGAACGCUGGCGGCGUGCCUAAUACAUGCGAGUCGAGCGAACAGACGAGGAGCUUGCUCCUCUGACGUUAGCGGCGGACGGGUGAGUAACACGUGGAUAACCUACCUAUAAGACUGGGAUAACUUCGGGAAACCGGAGCUAAUACCGGAUAAUAUAUUGAACCGCAUGGUUCAAUAGUGAAAGACGGUUUUGCUGUCACUUAUAGAUGGAUCCGCGCCGCAUUAGCUAGUUGGUAAGGUAACGGCUUACCAAGGCGACGAUGCGUAGCCGACCUGAGAGGGUGAUCGGCCACACUGGAACUGAGACACGGUCCAGACUCCUACGGGAGGCAGCAGUAGGGAAUCUUCCGCAAUGGGCGAAAGCUUGACGGAGCAACGCCGCGUGAGUGAUGAAGGUCUUCGGAUCGUAAAACUCUGUUAUUAGGGAAGAACAAAUGUGUAAGUAACUAUGCACGUCUUGACGGUACCUAAGCAGAAAGCCACGGCUAACUACGU
This 496-nucleotide ribosomal RNA is filed under the name uncultured bacterium. RNAcentral's name for it is "partial 16S ribosomal RNA". It matches the Rfam family "Bacterial small subunit ribosomal RNA", at positions 28 to 506 of the family's 1533-position model. The record is from RNAcentral.